GAGUUUUUUGUUCUUUUUUUUUUUGUGUUAGAUAUUUUCGCCAUAUGGUUACAUUGAAGAUAUUUUCAUUGUGCGUGAUGAAAUGAAGCAAAGUCGUGGAUGCGGCUUUGUUAGAUUUUCUCAGGUGGACAUGGCAAUAGCAGCAAUCAAAGCAUUAAAUGGAACCUAUACUAUGAGGGGUUGUGAUCAUCCACUAGCUGUUCGUUUUGCAGAACCCAAGAAACCUAGAUCUGGAGACUCAAGGUUCUGCUUCUGUACAUCUUAUAUUUG
This is a long non-coding RNA of Morus notabilis, 270 nucleotides long. RefSeq lists it as uncharacterized. The transcript is spliced from 3 exons. NCBI's taxonomy places the organism in Eukaryota, Viridiplantae, Streptophyta, Magnoliopsida, Rosales, Moraceae. The record is from RefSeq and is a predicted model, not a curated record.